GCAAACUUGGUCAUUUAGAGGAAGUAAAAGUCGUAACAAGGUUUCCGUAGGUGAACCUGCGGAAGGAUCAUUAGUGAACUACAAGAUACACUAUCAUCUUGAGAACACCAGCCGCGUUCCUGUACCUGUUGCUUCCGUAAAUGGACAACACUUGGUUGUUGCAAUCCUUAAUGGCAUUUACGGGCAGCAUUUGUUCUUUUCCAAUAUCAUUUUAACCAGUAUCUUGUCUGAAUGCUAUGGUGAAUAGACAAUAUUGAAAACUUUCAACAACGGAUCUCUUGGUUCUCGCAUCGAUGAAGAACGCAGC
RNAcentral lists this unclassified non-coding RNA (307 nucleotides) under uncultured fungus. RNAcentral describes it as "partial contains small subunit ribosomal RNA, internal transcribed spacer 1, and 5.8S ribosomal RNA". The stretch from base 1 to 73 matches the Rfam family "Eukaryotic small subunit ribosomal RNA", at positions 1759 to 1831 of the family's 1831-position model. The record is from RNAcentral. Lineage: Eukaryota; Fungi.